RNAcentral lists this ribosomal RNA (403 nucleotides) under uncultured bacterium. RNAcentral describes it as "partial 16S ribosomal RNA". It matches the Rfam family "Bacterial small subunit ribosomal RNA", at positions 29 to 526 of the family's 1533-position model. The record is from RNAcentral.
AUUGAACGCUGGCGGCAGGCCUAACACAUGCAAGUCGAACGAGUGGCGGACGGGUGAGUAAUGUCUGGGAAACUGCCUGAUGGAGGGGGAUAACUACUGGAAACGGUAGCUAAUACCGCAUACCAUCGGAUGUGCCCAGAUGGGAUUAGCUAGUAGGUGGGGUAAAGGCUCACCUAGGCGACGAUCCCUAGCUGGUCUGAGAGGAUGACCAGCAAGACUGGAAGUGAGACACGGUCCAGACUCCGUCGGGAGGCAGCAGGGGGGAAUAGUGAAAGAUGGGCGGAAGCCUGAUGCAGCCAGGCCGCGUGUAUGAAGAAGGCCUGCGGGUUGGAAAGUACUUUCAGCGGGGAGGCGUUACCCGCAGAAGAAGCACCGGCUAACUCCGUGCCAGCCGCGGUAAUUC